AGCGAACGCUGGCGGCAGGCUUAACACAUGCAAGUCGAGCGGGCGUAGCAAUACGUCAGCGGCAGACGGGUGAGUAACGCGUGGGAACAUACCUUUUGGUUCGGAACAACACAGGGAAACUUGUGCUAAUACCGGAUAAGCCCUUACGGGGAAAGAUUUAUCGCCGAAAGAUUGGCCCGCGUCUGAUUAGCUAGUUGGUAGGUAAUGGCCUACCAAGGCGACGAUCAGUAGCUGGUCNGAGAGGAUGAUCAGCCACAUUGGGACUGAGACACGGCCCAAACUCCUACGGGAGGCAGCAGUGGGGAAUAUUGGACAAUGGGGCAACCCUGAUCCAGCCAUGCCGCGUGAGUGAUGAAGGCCCUAGGGUUGUAAAGCUCUUUUGCGCGGGAAGAUAAUGACGGUACCGCAAGAAUAACGCCCCGGCUAACUUCGUGCCACGCCGCCG
Molecule: ribosomal RNA, 445 nt
Filed under: uncultured bacterium
Lineage: Bacteria
Description: bacterial SSU rRNA
Rfam family: Bacterial small subunit ribosomal RNA
Source: RNAcentral